Molecule: ribosomal RNA, 463 nt
Filed under: uncultured bacterium
Lineage: Bacteria
Description: partial 16S ribosomal RNA
Rfam family: Bacterial small subunit ribosomal RNA
Source: RNAcentral
GAUGAACGCUGACAGAAUGCUUAACACAUGCAAGUCGAUGGGGAAGUGGUGCUUGCACCAUGGCAACCAUGGCGGACGGGUGAGUAACGCGUAAGGGACUUACCUGCAGGACUGGGAUAACAGGGGGAAACUCCUGACAAGACCGGAUAAUGUCAUGGAGCUGCAUGGCUUUAUGAUGAAAGGAGACGCCUGCGGAGAGCCUUGCGUCCUAUUAGCUAGUUGGUGAGGUAAUGGCUCACCAAGGCGAAGAUAGGUAGCCGGCCUGAGAGGGUGGACGGCCACAAGGGGACUGGGAUACGGCCCUUACUACUACGGGAGGCAGCAGUGGGGAAUAUUGGACAAUGGGGGCAACCCUGAUCCAGCAAUUCUGUGUGCACGAAGAAGGUUUUCGGAGUGUAAAGAGCUUUCAGCAGGGAAGAAGUAAGUGACGGUACCUGCAGAAGAAGCGACGGCUAAAUACGUG